This 253-nucleotide ribosomal RNA is filed under the name uncultured bacterium. RNAcentral's name for it is "partial 16S ribosomal RNA". It matches the Rfam family "Bacterial small subunit ribosomal RNA", at positions 524 to 776 of the family's 1533-position model. The record is from RNAcentral.
UACGGAGGGUGCAAGCAUUGAUCGGAAUUACUGGGCGUAAAGGGCGCGUAGGCGGCCUGAAAAGUCGAUUGUGAAAUUCCGGGGCUCAACCCCGGAACUGCGAUUGAAACUUUCAGACUAGAGGAUAGUAAGGGAAAACGGAAUUCCACGUGUAGCGGUGAAAUGCGUAGAUAUGUGGAAGAACACCGGUGGUGAAGACGGUUUUCUGUCCUAUUCCUGACGCUGAGGCGCGAAAGCUAGGGGAGCAAACAGG